UCUUAGCUCAGUUGGUAGAGCAGCGGACUCUUAAUCCGUUGGUCGAAGGUUCGAAUCCUUCAGGGCC
Molecule: transfer RNA, 67 nt
Filed under: Comamonas kerstersii
Lineage: Bacteria; Pseudomonadati; Pseudomonadota; Betaproteobacteria; Burkholderiales; Comamonadaceae
Also listed under: 2 other names
Rfam family: tRNA
About the family: Transfer RNA (tRNA) molecules are approximately 80 nucleotides in length. Their secondary structure includes four short double-helical elements and three loops (D, anti-codon, and T loops).
Source: RNAcentral